UUUUGCAGUACCACUUAUAAACCCCUCAAGAUUGUGAGAAUCCAAAAUUAGACGAACAUGUCGCGUCCAACUUAAGUAGGUACCCGGCCUAUCCAAUUUGACCGGAUUAGUUUCUAGGGUGAUCUUUGAAAACUCACUACCCGAGAUACGAGAUUCCAUCAUCCUAACCAUUAACUUUUCUAAAUCCUCCAUGGUUAAAGGAGUUUUAUCAUCCAUAACAAAAACUUAAAUGAUCAAGUAAACAAGA
RNAcentral lists this long non-coding RNA (247 nucleotides) under Elaeis guineensis (African oil palm). Its description in RNAcentral is "long non-coding RNA (EGUI_LNC075478)". Lineage: Eukaryota; Viridiplantae; Streptophyta; Magnoliopsida; Arecales; Arecaceae. The record is from RNAcentral.